CAAAACUAGCGACUAUAUAUUGCUAUUACGCACAUGUGUCUCCAUGCACACACAGACACGCACCAUUCACAUGCGCACAAUUGGUAGACCUGGCGUCACAUGAAAUGGCUUCUCCAAUGCCAUGCUUGUAGGAGGUGGUGUGCCUUGCUUCUAAGACCCAGGGAUGGUUGAGAUGGUCCCUUCUAGGAGAAGCAGUUACAGGUCCCUUUGGUUAAGAGCAGCAAGAGACACAUGCAGAACUGCCAGAAGAUUCCGGCUGAUCUGAACUUGCUUUGGUUACCCUGCUCUGCUUAGGUCAGAUUUUUCCUGACUGCCAGAGUGUACAACACCAAGAGUGAACCUGAACCUGAACCACGGACUUUGGGUGAUCAUGAUGUGUCGAUGUAGGUAUAUCUAUUGUAAUGAAUGUACCACUCUGGUAGGGGAUGUAGAGAAUUAGAGAAGCUAUGCAUGGGGGGAGGGGCAGGAGACAUAUGAGAAAUCUCUGUACCUUCUUCUUAAUUUUGCUUUGAACCUAAGACUGCUCUAAAAAAAUUGAGUCUGCAAAACAAAAUCUUAGUAGCUUAAAACAAUCAUUUAUUACUGCUUACAACUCUCUGGGCCAGGUGGGUGGUUCUGCUGAUCUGAGCUAAGCCAGCUGAUCAUGCAUCUGCCAUCAACUGUGGGCUGGGAAUGGCUUUGCUGAUCUUGGCUGGGCUCUCACCUGCCUGGGGCCUGGCCCCCAUUCUGUGUUCUCUCAUUCUCCAGCUGUCUGUCCUGGGCUUUUCAUAGGGUGGUGGCAAGCUUCCAAUAGUGAGAGAGCAGGCUCAUAAGGCUUCUUG
This 821-nucleotide long non-coding RNA is filed under the name Callithrix jacchus (white-tufted-ear marmoset). Its description in RNAcentral is "lncRNA (ENSCJAG00000077279.1)". Lineage: Eukaryota; Metazoa; Chordata; Mammalia; Primates; Cebidae. The record is from RNAcentral.